RNAcentral lists this ribosomal RNA (257 nucleotides) under uncultured Neisseria sp. RNAcentral describes it as "partial 16S ribosomal RNA". It matches the Rfam family "Bacterial small subunit ribosomal RNA", at positions 96 to 354 of the family's 1533-position model. Lineage: Bacteria; Pseudomonadati; Pseudomonadota; Betaproteobacteria; Neisseriales; Neisseriaceae. The record is from RNAcentral.
UGGCGAACGGGUUAGUAACAUAUCGGAACGUACCGGGUAGCGGGGGAUAACUGAUCGAAAGAUCAGCUAAUACCGCAUACGUCUUGAGAGGGAAAGCAGGGGACCUUCGGGCCUUGCGCUAUCCGAGCGGCCGAUAUCUGAUUAGCUGGUUGGCGGGGUAAAGGCCCACCAAGGCUACGAUCAGUAGCGGGUCUGAGAGGAUGAUCCGCCACACUGGGACUGAGACACGGCCCAGACUCCUACGGGAGGCAGCAGAU